Molecule: ribosomal RNA, 425 nt
Filed under: uncultured bacterium
Lineage: Bacteria
Description: bacterial SSU rRNA
Rfam family: Bacterial small subunit ribosomal RNA
Source: RNAcentral
GGGGAAUAUUGGACAAUGGGGGAAACCCUGAUCCAGCCAUGCCGCGUGUGUGAAGAAGGCCUUCGGGUUGUAAAGCACUUUCAGUUGGGAGGAAAAGUUUGUGGUUAAUACCCACGAGCCGUGACGUUACCAACAGAAGAAGCACCGGCUAACUCCGUGCCAGCAGCCGCGGUAAUACGGAGGGUGCAAGCGUUAAUCGGAAUUACUGGGCGUAAAGCGCGCGUAGGCGGCUUGUUAAGCGGAAUGUGAAAUCCCCGGGCUCAACCUGGGCACUGCAUUCCGAACUGGCUGGCUAGAGUGUGGUAGAGGAAGGUGGAAUUCCAGGUGUAGCGGUGAAAUGCGUAGAUAUCUGGAGGAACAUCAGUGGCGAAGGCGACCUUCUGGACCAACACUGACGCUGAGGUGCGAAAGCGUGGGGAGCAAAC